RNAcentral lists this ribosomal RNA (425 nucleotides) under uncultured Pantoea sp. Its description in RNAcentral is "bacterial SSU rRNA". It matches the Rfam family "Bacterial small subunit ribosomal RNA", at positions 354 to 771 of the family's 1533-position model. Lineage: Bacteria; Pseudomonadati; Pseudomonadota; Gammaproteobacteria; Enterobacterales; Erwiniaceae. The record is from RNAcentral.
GUGGGGAAUAUUGCACAAUGGGCGCAAGCCUGAUGCAGCCAUGCCGCGUGUAUGAAGAAGGCCUUCGGGUUGUAAAGUACUUUCAGCGGGGAGGAAGGCGGUGAGGUUAAUAACCUUGCCGAUUGACGUUACCCGCAGAAGAAGCACCGGCUAACUCCGUGCCAGCAGCCGCGGUAAUACGGAGGGUGCAAGCGUUAAUCGGAAUUACUGGGCGUAAAGCGCACGCAGGCGGUCUGUUAAGUCAGAUGUGAAAUCCCCGGGCUUAACCUGGGAACUGCAUUUGAAACUGGCAGGCUUGAGUCUCGUAGAGGGGGGUAGAAUUCCAGGUGUAGCGGUGAAAUGCGUAGAGAUCUGGAGGAAUACCGGUGGCGAAGGCGGCCCCCUGGACGAAGACUGACGCUCAGGUGCGAAAGCGUGGGGAGCAA